GAUGCGGUCGUAACGAGUUCUCGUUGAUGCUCGGUGCUUGCACCGAGAUUCAACAUGGGACGAGUGGCGGACGGGGGAGUAACACGUGGGUAACCUGCCCUUAAGUGGGGGAUAACAUUUGGAAACAGAUGCUAAUACCGCAUAGAUCCAAGAACCGCAUGGUUCUUGGCUGAAAGAUGGCGUAAGCUAUCGCUUUUGGAUGGACCCGCGGCGUAUUAGCUAGUUGGUGAGGUAAUGGCUCACCAAGGCGAUGAUACGUAGCCGAACUGAGAGGUUGAUCGGCCACAUUGGGACUGAGACACGGCCCAAACUCCUACGGGAGGCAGCAGUAGGGAAUCUUCCACAAUGGACGCAAGUCUGAUGGAGCAACGCCGCGUGAGUGAAGAAGGCUUUCGGGUCGUAAAACUCUGUUGUUGGAGAAGAAUGGUCGGCAGAGUAACUGUUGUCGGCGUGACGGUAUCCAACCAGAAAGCCACGGCUAACUACGUGCCAGCAGCCGCGGUAAUACGUAGGUGGCAAGCGUUAUCCGGAUUUAUUGGGCGUAAAGCGAGCGCAGGCGGUUUUUUAAGUCUGAUGUGAAAGCCCUCGGCUUAACCGAGGAAGCGCAUCGGAAACUGGGAAACUUGAGUGCAGAAGAGGACAGUGGAACUCCAUGUGUAGCGGUGAAAUGCGUAGAUAUAUGGAAGAACACCAGUGGCGAAGGCGGCUGUCUGGUCUGUAACUGACGCUGAGGCUCGAAAGCAUGGGUAGCGAACAGGAUUAGAUACCCUGGUAGUCCAUGCCGUAAACGAUGAAUGCUAGGUGUUGGAGGGUUUCCGCCCUUUCAGUGCCGCAGCUAACGCAUUAAGCA
Molecule: ribosomal RNA, 850 nt
Filed under: Lacticaseibacillus paracasei
Lineage: Bacteria; Bacillati; Bacillota; Bacilli; Lactobacillales; Lactobacillaceae
Description: bacterial SSU rRNA
Rfam family: Bacterial small subunit ribosomal RNA
Source: RNAcentral